UACGAGUGGUGCUAGCGUUAUUCGGAUUUAUUGGGCGUAAAGGGUGUGUAGACGGCAUACUAAGUCAUCUGUUUAAUUCUCCGGCUUAACCGGAGCCCAGCGGGUGAAACUGGUAUACUAGAGGGUGGAAGAGAGAAGUGGAAUUCUCGGAGUAGCGGUAAAAUGCGUAGAUCUCGAGAGGAACACCAAUGGCGAAGGCAGCUUCUUGGUCCAUACCUGACGUUGAGACACGAAAGCGUGGGGAGCAAACAGG
This 253-nucleotide ribosomal RNA is filed under the name uncultured bacterium. RNAcentral describes it as "partial 16S ribosomal RNA". It matches the Rfam family "Bacterial small subunit ribosomal RNA", at positions 524 to 776 of the family's 1533-position model. The record is from RNAcentral.